CAGGGGCCGGGGGAGAGAGACGGGGAGUCAGCGUUUAACGGGGACGGUUUCGUUUGUGCAGGAUGAACAGUGUCGUGGCCAGACGGAGGUGGCGGCAGCAGAACACGGCGAAUGUCCUCGACACCCCGGAGCGCGCGACGCUUAAACUUCAGAUGUUGAGACGGGGACCUUGUGAGCUCCCAGCGUGAAAAGCGACUUGUGUCCCUCCCGCUGGAAUGUCCACGGGCCCAGGACCUCGCGGGGCCGAGGGAUGAGUCACGGCUUCUUGGAACUGUGGGAACUAAUCCAGGAACAGCUGCCAACGUCAUUAUUAUUGUUCACCAAGGCGUCAGACCUUUACCGCGUGCUCACGGCCGGCUCCGGGAGACGCAGAGCUGAGCGUGUGAUCUGGUGCCUGGGGACAGCUCCUCGACUUGUCAUCUCGUCUCGACCGCUGGCUGCGGAACCGGAGAUGACGGCUUCGCAAACACCCCUCGGCCUGGUUGGCGGGCAUGGGCAGCUUUUCCUUCUUCCCUUCUCCCCCUUGACACCCGAUCGGACCGAAGCCUGUGAACCACCUACUUCUGAAACUGCACUUGUGAACCCCGAGGCGCCCUCGGCCAGCGGUCCAGCCAAGACCCCUUCCCUCUGGCCGGAUCUGCGCGUCUUUGUCUGUCCCCGGCGCCCACGGCUCCCCCGGAGGCCAUCCUACGUGCGACUUCCAGGUCUCAAAGCAGAAGCCAGGGCUGUCAGGAACCCGCGAUGGCUUCUCACGGGCGGACGAAAGUCAGGCUUCUGGAGUCUGGCUGAAGACUUUGGCCUCUUCGAAGGAUUUUGAGCCGUUACAGAAUUUAAUCGGAGGCUUUUUUGCGUCACCGACAGAGACUUUUAAAGCCUAUAAACAAAGGAUGGUGAUCAAAAAGCCCGGGACCCUGACCCCCGCAAAUCCUCGCACCGUUCUGUCAAAAUGGAGAUGUGUUUCUUUUGGUUUCCCUAAAUUUCUAUUGACUUAAACAACUUCUCCGACAGAGAUGACCUCCACCCCUCCAGGAUUAACCGGUGAGAAAGGAAAAGGGAGAACGUGCAAGAAACGUUCGCUUGGAUCCAUCAGUCACAACCAGGACACACCUACCCAGGUCGUAAACGUUGAGAAACCUGCUCUAUGCAGCCGCUGCGUCCGGGAUGAUAGCCACGUGGUCGGGAGCAGCUGUGACGCUCUCAGAAGUGGUGGAUCCGUCUGCAGAUCCGAUGGACCGGGGCGAAAUGGUGGUUGAUUUUACGUAUUACCUUGCCUGGGCCACAGCACCCGGAAAGUGGCUCAAACAUUAUUGCAGGUGAUUCUCUGAAGCUGUUUUUUUUAGAUGAGAUUAACACUGAAAUCGGCAGACUUUGAGAAAAGCGGAUCACCCUCUGCUGUGUGGGUGGGCCCCGUCCAAUCAGUUGAAGCGUUAAUAAAAAAAAAAGGUUAAUAAAAAAAGGUCUCCUGAGGAAGAGGGGAUUCUGCCAGCAGACGACCUUCGGAUGUGAACUGCGACACUGACCCCUCUCUCGGUCCGCUGCCUGCCCACCUGCCCUGCAGGUUUUGGCUACAUCAUGCCCACGGUUGUGUGAGUCAUCACCUUAAAAUAAAAAAAAAUGUCCUCUUUUUUUCUGUACAGAUACACACACACACACACACGCACGCACGCACAGAACGCCAACUGACGCAAAGAAGUAGGGGCGUGCUUUUGAGACUUUGAGACCCAAAGGACAAUGGGAAGAGAGAUUUACUCAAAGGGACAGAGGACGGGUCAGGGGGUGCGGGGAGAGAGCAUGGGAGACCGGGCCACUUCUGGGCGGCAAGCUGCAGAGGGCACUUUGCAGCUCUCUCUGGGCCAUGCCCUUCCCCAACCCCCGUCCCCACACCCCCACCUGCACCUCAAGACCUCGAGCCACUGGAGAGAGACCUCUGCGGUAGGAGGGGAGUGGCACUGGCUUUGGGGACCCGAAGAGAAGGACUGAUGAGGUCUUUCUUGACCAGUGGUUCGUUCUGAAGAAAUUCAUAUUCUAAAUGUUUUCCACGUUCUUCAUUUGGGCUUCCCUUAAGGAGAACGGUUUUUGUUAUUCUGUUUAAAAGCCUUUUUUAAAGUGAUAAGCUCAUUGCUGUGCUUUUGUUAUUCGGCCAGUCAGGAGAUGGGGUGACGAAGCAUUUGAAUGGUUCUCAGUCUCCACUGGGCGGGAGAGUCCCCAGGAGAGCCUGUCCAGCGCAGGUCACCACCCCCCAGAAGCCCCCUGGGCGUGAAGGUCUCCGGCUAGGAGCUGAACUGGCUGCUCUACGGACGCUCCGGGACACUCCGGCGUCGACGGUCUUCGCAACCCUGCAUCCGUCAAUAGCUCGCCAUGUGCAGAAAACCCAUUUUCAUGGAAUUUUAAUGUUUUAGAUAUGGAUCCGUGGCAGAAAACCUAAUAAAAGCCUAAUUUAAAAUGGCUUUGAGGUCAACUAUCUGAGCGUUCUUUUCCAUCAUGCUGCUUCUGGAAAAUACAAAAAUAAAUCAACAGCCGAGAACCCUAUGAUCUCCACAGUAGGAAUUGCCCAGUGGUGGUUUCCUGUGGACCCUGUGCCCGCACGUGGCAGUCACGUGGAAGGCCCCACGCGCCCCCGGGAGGCAGGCGGACGCCCCGUGAUGGGCCUGGCACAGCCCCGGCCCGCGAGGCCACUCAGCCGCGCCUGUCCCGGAGCUGUUCUCCCUUCACCGGCCCUGCCUUGCAGACAGUCCUUGGCUCUCAAAGAAGCUACUGGAGCAAUCGGCAGGCGAGUCGCAGAAGGCGGCGAUCACAGUCUGCAGCAUCUUUGCUGACUUAAAGCGAGCAGAGGGCGCGAGGCGCACUGAGGGGGGCAGGCGGGCCACGCUGAGGACAGGGACGGCGGCGUGUAACCAGCUGGCUCAUGGCUUAAUGCUCCGUAAAUACGAGGGCCACCUGGCCGAGGCCCUUUUUGGCAAACGCCACGCGGAGGGUCUGCGCUCACGUGAGAACAAACGCGGAGAAGCUGCGCCGAGUCUUCCUGUCACCUGCGAACGCCUGGCCACAGCCAGUCGAAAGGGAGACGCACAUGAGUCCCCAUUCCUGCACGGUCACCUGGCAGGGUAGGCCUGUGUCCGCCGAGGGAGUAAGAGCCGACAGUGUGCAAGGCCGACUUCCACGUCCUGCCUCCUCGCCACCCCCCGCCCCCCGCAAAUCCCAAGGAUGGCUCGUGACCGUCAGGAGGCCACUGUGUCCAGCAGCCAGAACCUCAGUGCUGAAGACAGAGGGGGCUGUGCUGUCUCAUGAGCGCCUCCAGUUAGAAUCGUCUGGGCUGGUGACAGGCAGAAGUGUCCCUCCGCACACUGAAGCGGGCACCGUGGGAGAGAGGCUUCGGAGCCUGGUGAGUUCGGUCCUCGGAAGCUCAGACCGUGAGGCGUGGGCCGCUGGCCUGUGAGGAGCCGAGAAUGCUUCGGCCCACGGCACUUUGCAGGUGAGUGCACACCUGCCGCAGAGAUGGGGCGGCUGGUGCGAUGGACUGAUGAAUCACGUCUACCGCCGGUUGGAGUUAGCUGCCGAGUUGCGUCUUCCCCCGAAGGAGCCGGAUAAGGACGGUCGUCUUUCGUGACAUAAAAUGCGUCGCAGAUCUUUGUGGCAUGGAGAUCGGGAGGGGGCAGGGAUACAGGGACACCCGGAGAAGCGCGGCCGGUGAGCGUUUGACGUGUGACAUUUGAGGAAAAUUGGUUCGGACGCCGAUCCUCGUGACCCGGAUUCCCCGGGGGCCCACGGAACGGUCGCCUUUUUCACCGGAGCAAGGCGGCCCUCCCCUGACCCCCACAGCGAGCCUUUGGGCUACUCACGCCUGUCCUGCUCGCAGGCUCCGGAGGAACUGGGUGACACACUCUCUGCCCAGGGCUCCGGCCCAGGACGACCAAGCCUUUGCUCGCGCCAGCCGGGCCCAGAUCGUCCUCGAGUCAACGGGCGGCCAGACAGCAGCGUCGCCUCUGGACUCACGGACGCCAGCCGAGCCCGUCGAAUGCAGAAGACGCCUCCUGACUGCGAAACCCGCUGGGCUCAGAUUCAGCAGGCCCGUCACAGACGCCACCCACAGGCCUGGGGACGCCCACACCUCGUCCUCUGCGGCCACAGAGAGACAUCGGGCUGUGAACCUUACUAGGUUCGAGGCCGUGGCUGCUGCCCCAGGCAACGCCAGAGCGGCGCCCGCCGGCCUGCGACUCCCCAGAUGGCGUUGUUAAAGGGGUCCAUCCGUAGCCAUUUGUGGCAAAGGUCUAGGUCACUCCAAACAGCACUAGAAAAGGGCACUGUGCUCAGCAGACGCCAGGAGGAAGCCAGAGCGGUCUGAGCCCGAGGGCAGGCCGAAGACAAGCCCAGUCAGGUCCCUACGCUGCGUUAACUGAGGAAUUUGCCAGAUGCCAGCCCUCCGCCAUUUUCCUCGGAGCUCGGGGCCACCGCAGAUGCCGGUGGGACCCGGCAGGACGCUGUCAGGGCGGAGGGCCUAGCACCCCCUCAGCCACGCUGCACCCAGCAAGGUCGUGGCAGGAGCCCAGCUUACAGGACACCAUUCGAGAGAGUAUUGUCUCAGUUUUCCCAAGAACGAAGCUCAGUCAGCUCUACUCCACACACCUGGGAGAAGUCAACAGCCGAACCCCUCGGGCGUCAGGAGCCCCAGGUGAGAACGGCAGGCAGAGGGACUCCGGGGCCCAGGUUCUGUGGUGGCCCCACUAAAGCCGGUCCCUCAAUGACAGGAUGCUGCAGAGACAGCCCUCCGCCCUCCGUGCGUGCCCGUGGGCUCACGCUCAUCCGAGGGCUGGAGCACAUGCAGGUGACAGGUGGCCGGCCCGUGCCUCGCAGAGCGGUGCCCGGCGGGCAGGGAGCAGCGGGCUGCAGGUCGGGGCCAUGCUCGUGGCUUUGUGUGGGCGGCUCCUCCCCCCGGGCACCGACGGCUGAGGCCGGCCGUGGCGUCUAAUUCUGCCACCUCUCUAGUCCCUGGAGACUUGUUCCAGCCCACGGCAGGCUCUCGCUGGCAGAUCCGGCACUAGGAAGCUUGGCCAGAGGGUAACAGUCCAGCCUGCCCCCAAGCCAAAGCAGAACCGGGACGCUUCGGCCGAGCUGAGGUCACGGUCACCUCGCCGGCACGGUUACCGUCUCGG
Long non-coding RNA from Pteropus alecto (black flying fox), 5150 nucleotides. RefSeq lists it as uncharacterized. The transcript has 5 exons. Lineage: Eukaryota; Metazoa; Chordata; Mammalia; Chiroptera; Pteropodidae. The record is from RefSeq and is a predicted model, not a curated record.